UACGUAGGGCGCAAGCGUUGUCCGGAAUUAUUGGGCGUAAAGAGCUCGUAGGCGGCUCGGUAAGUCAGGUGUGAAACCUCCAGGCUCAACCUGGAGACGCCACCUGAUACUGCUGUGGCUAGAGUCCGGUAGGGGAGCGUGGAAUUCCUGGUGUAGCGGUGAAAUGCGCAGAUAUCAGGAGGAACACCAGCGGCGAAGGCGGUUGCCUGGAGCUUUGCUGACGCUGAGGCGCGAAAGCGUGGGGAGCGAUCCGG
This 254-nucleotide ribosomal RNA is filed under the name uncultured bacterium. RNAcentral's name for it is "partial 16S ribosomal RNA". It matches the Rfam family "Bacterial small subunit ribosomal RNA", at positions 524 to 776 of the family's 1533-position model. The record is from RNAcentral.